RNAcentral lists this ribosomal RNA (32 nucleotides) under fungal sp. 2.48.4I. Its description in RNAcentral is "partial 28S ribosomal RNA". The record is from RNAcentral. Lineage: Eukaryota; Fungi.
GUUGACCUCGGAUCAGGUAGUGGAUACCCGCU